This 388-nucleotide unclassified non-coding RNA is filed under the name fungal sp. RNAcentral describes it as "partial internal transcribed spacer region". The stretch from base 1 to 46 matches the Rfam family "Eukaryotic small subunit ribosomal RNA", at positions 1786 to 1831 of the family's 1831-position model. The record is from RNAcentral. Lineage: Eukaryota; Fungi.
AAGUCGUAACAAGGUCUCCGUUGGUGAACCAGCGGAAGGAUCAUUAUAAAAUCUUAGUUUGGUCUCCUUGUGAGAUCAUUCAACCCUUGUGAACUAGUUGAUUCCGAUCCCUUUGAGUUUGGCCUUAGGUUCUGUGUGUCUUGAGCUGGUUAGGUUUGAGUCUGGUUUAUAUUCUGGAUUCGCCUUGCUGGUUCGACCUGGGAUCUUUGGUCUUUAGGCUCAAAGGGAAAGGAUAGCCAAUCCCUAGGUUUGACCUUAGGGUCUUGACUAGGGAAUGGUUCCCCUUUAAUUUAACUUGUCUUGUUUGGUUUGUUGGAUGGUGUUCGCAGCCGAAAGGCGGAACUUUUGAAUUUAAAUACAACUUUCAGCAACGGAUCUCUUGGCUCUC